AACUCCCCCACUUCUAAACCUGUUUCAUGUGCAAUCAGAUGUGUCUCCGAAUGCCGCGUAGAUGAUGUAUGGGAGUCAGACUAUACGAGAUAAGUUGGAUAGUCGAAAGGGAAAGAGCCCAGACCACCGGCUAAGGUCCCAAAAUGUGUGUUAAGUGGAAAAGGAUGUGGGAUUUCGAAGACAACUAGGAUGUUGGCUUAGAAGCAGCCAUACAUUCAAAGAGUGCGUAAUAGCUCACUAGUCGAGAGGUCCUGCGCCGAAAAUGUCCGGGGCUGAAACACACUACCGAAGCCGUGGAAUUGGUGAAUGCCAAUUGGUAGAGGAGCAUUCUUAAAGAGAAGAAGCUGUACCGGAAGGAGCAGUGGAUUUUUAAGAAGAGAGAAUGCCGGAAUGAGUAGCGAGAGGAAGGUGAGAAUCCUUCCGGCCGAAUAUCUAAGGUUUCCAGAGUAAAGCUGAUCUGCUCUGGGUAAGUCGGGGCCUAAGGCGAGGUCGAAAGACGUAGUCGAUGGAUAACAGGUUGAAAUUCCUGUACUAUGAUAUAACAGAACUGUGGGGACACGUAAGGAAAGCACAAUCCGGGAAUGGAAAGACCGGAGUAAGCGGGGUAGGAGUUCAGAAGGCAAAUCCGCUGAACAAUCCGAAGACGUGAUACGGACCGAAAAGAAGUAGGGAAGUGUGUGAGCCAUGCGUCAAGAAAAGCCGCUAUUGUUUGUAUCAUACCCGUACCGUAAACCGACACAGGUGGAUGAGGAGAGAAUCCUAAGGCCGACGGGAGAAGCAUUGUUAAGGAACUCGGCAAAAUGACUCCGUAACUUCGGGAGAAGGAGUGCCAUAGAAAUAUGGCCGCAGAGAAUUGGCCCAAGCAACUGUUUAGCAAAAACACAGGUCUAUGCAAAACCGAAAGGUGAAGUAUAUGGGCUGACGCCUGCCCGGUGCUGGAAGGUUAAGGGGAGAGGUUAGCGCAAGCGAAGCUUUGAACUUAAGCCCCAGUAAACGGCGGCCGUAACUAUAACGGUCCUAAGGUAGCGAAAUUCCUUGUCGGGUAAGUUCCGACCCGCACGAAAGGCGUAAUGAUUUGGGCACUGUCUCAACAAUGCACCCGGUGAAAUUGAAAUACCAGUGAAGAUGCUGGUUACCUGCGCCAGGACGGAAAGACCCCAUGGAGCUUUACUCCAGCUUGAUACUGGGAUUCGGUAUUGUAUGUACAGGAUAGGUGGGAGACUAAGAAGCAUUUACGCCAGUAGAUGCAGAGUCGCUGUUGGGAUACCACCCUUGCAGUACUGGAUUUCUAACCAGCGGCCUUAAGCAGGUCGGGGGACAAUGUCAGGUGGGGAGUUUGACUGGGGCGGUCGCCUCCGAAAGGGUAUCGGAGGCGCUCAAAGGUUCCCUCAGAAUGGUCGGAAACCAUUCGAAGAGUGCAAAGGCAGAAGGGAGCUUGACUGCGACACUGACGGGUGGAGCAGGUACGAAAGUAGGACUUAGUGAUCCGGUGGUAUAAAGUGGGAUUGCCAUCGCUCAACGGAUAAAAGCUACCCUGGGGAUAACAGGCUUAUCACUCCCAAGAGUUCACAUCGACGGAGUGGUUUGGCACCUCGAUGUCGGCUCAUCGCAUCCUGGGGCUGAAGUAGGUCCCAAGGGUUGGGCUGUUCGCCCAUUAAAGCGGUACGCGAGCUGGGUUCAGAACGUCGUGAGACAGUUCGGUCCCUAUCCGGCGUGGGCGUAGGAUAUUUGAGAGGAGCUGCCCUUAGUACGAGAGGACCGGGGUGGACUGGCCGCUGGUGUAUCUGUUGUUCUACCAAGAGCAUGGCAGAGUAGCCAAGCCGGGAAGGGAUAAACGCUGAAGGCAUCUAAGCGUGAAGCCCCCCUCAAGAUGAGAUAUCCCAUAACGUCAAGUUAGUAAGACCCCUUGAAGACAACGAGGUAGAUAGGGCAGAGGUGGAAGUGUGGCAACACAUGGAGCUGACUGUUACUAAUCGGUCGAGGGCAUAACCAG
RNAcentral lists this ribosomal RNA (1993 nucleotides) under uncultured bacterium. Its description in RNAcentral is "bacterial LSU rRNA". It matches the Rfam family "Bacterial large subunit ribosomal RNA", at positions 920 to 2925 of the family's 2925-position model. The record is from RNAcentral.